CAGGCUACCAUGCAGUCGAGCGCCGUAUCAUACGGAGCGGCAGACGGGAGAGUACUCGUGGGAACGUGCCCUUUGGUUCGGAACAACCCAGGGAAACUUGGGCUAAUACCGGAUAAGCCCUUACGGGGAAAGAUUUAUCGCCGAAGGAUCGGCCCGCGUCUGAUUAGCUAGUUGGUGGGGUAAUGGCCCACCAAGGCGACGAUCAGUAGCUGGUCUGAGAGGAUGAUCAGCCUCACUGGGACUGAGACACGGCCCAGACUCCUACGGGAGGCAGCAGUGGG
RNAcentral lists this ribosomal RNA (281 nucleotides) under uncultured Hyphomicrobiales bacterium. RNAcentral describes it as "uncultured Rhizobiales bacterium partial 16S ribosomal RNA". It matches the Rfam family "Bacterial small subunit ribosomal RNA", at positions 54 to 354 of the family's 1533-position model. Lineage: Bacteria; Pseudomonadati; Pseudomonadota; Alphaproteobacteria; Hyphomicrobiales. The record is from RNAcentral.